GGAGAGGUGGCAGAGUGGUUGAAUGCGUCGCUCUCGAAAAGCGGAGUACUCGCAAGGGUACCGUGGGUUCGAAUCCCACCCUCUUCG
RNAcentral lists this transfer RNA (87 nucleotides) under Deinococcus radiodurans R1 = ATCC 13939 = DSM 20539. RNAcentral describes it as "Deinococcus radiodurans R1 tRNA". It matches the Rfam family "tRNA". From Rfam's summary of the family: Transfer RNA (tRNA) molecules are approximately 80 nucleotides in length. The record is from Rfam by way of RNAcentral. Lineage: Bacteria; Thermotogati; Deinococcota; Deinococci; Deinococcales; Deinococcaceae.